ACUAAAAAACCAUGAAUUUUCGUGUCUAACGUUUGACCGUUCAUCUUAUUUAAAAAAAAUAUGAAAAAAAUUAAAAAGACAAGUCACGCAUAAAGUAUUAAUCAUGUUUUAUCAUCUAACAACAAUGAAAAUACUAAUUAUAAAAAAAUCAUAUAAGACAGAUAGUCAAACGUUGGACACGUAAACCCAGGGCUUUUUUUUUU
Oryza glumipatula is the source of this 203-nucleotide non-coding RNA. The record is from Rfam. NCBI's taxonomy places the organism in Eukaryota, Viridiplantae, Streptophyta, Magnoliopsida, Poales, Poaceae.